AGUGAGCGCUGGCGGUAGGCCUAACACAUGCAAGUCGAACGGCAGCACAGUAAGAGCUUGCUCUUACGGGUGGCGAGUGGCGGACGGGUGAGGAAUACAUCGGAAUCUACUUUUUCGUGGGGGAUAACGUAGGGAAACUUACGCUAAUACCGCAUACGACCUACGGGUGAAAGCAGGGGAUCUUCGGACCUUGCGCGAUUGAAUGAGCCGAUGUCGGAUUAGCUAGUUGGCGGGGUAAAGGCCCACCAAGGCGACGAUCCGUAGCUGGUCUGAGAGGAUGAUCAGCCACACUGGAACUGAGACACGGUCCAGACUCCUACGGGAGGCAGCAGUGGGGAAUAUUGGACAAUGGGCGCAAGCCUGAUCCAGCCAUACCGCGUUGGUGAAGAAGGCCUUCGGGUUUUAAAGCCCUUUUGUUGGGAAAGAAAAGCAGCAGGUUAAUACCCCGCUGUUCUGACGGUACCCAAAGAAUAAGCACCGGCUAACUUCGUG
Molecule: ribosomal RNA, 492 nt
Filed under: uncultured bacterium
Lineage: Bacteria
Description: partial 16S ribosomal RNA
Rfam family: Bacterial small subunit ribosomal RNA
Source: RNAcentral